AUGUUCGUCAUGAUUCAGCUCUCCUGGAGUGAGUGGAGUGACCCGGUCAUCUUUCAGACCCAGUGAGAGGAGUUAAAGGAAGGCUGGAACCCUCACCUGCUGCUUCUCCUCCUGCUUGUCAUACUCUUCAUUCCUGCCUUCUGGAGCCUGAAGACCCACCCAAUGUGGAGGCUAUGGAAGAAGAUAUGGGCCGUCCCCAGCCCUGAGCAGUUCUUCGUGCCCCUGUACAAGGGCUGCAGCGGAGACUUCAAGAAGUGGGUGGGUGCUCCCUUCACUGGCUCCAGGCUGGAGUUGGGACCCUGGAGCCCAGAAGUGCCCUCAGCCCUGGAGGUGUAUAGCUGCCACCCACCACAGAGCCCGGCCAAGAGGCUGCAGCUCACGGAGCUACGGGAACCAGCAGAGCUGGUGGAGUCUGAUGGCGUGCCAGCCAGCUUCUGGGCGACAGCCCAGAACUCGGGAGGCUCAGCUUACAGUGAUGAGAGGGACCGGCCGUACGGCCUGGUGUCCAUCGAUACAGUGACUGUGCUAGAUGCAGAGGGGCCAUGCACCUGGCCCUGCAGCUGUGAGGAUGACGGCUACCCAGCCCUGGACCUGGACGCUGGCCUGGAGCCCAGCCCAGGCCUAGAGGAUCCACUCUUGGGCGCGGGAACCACAGUCCUCUCCUGCGGCUGUGUCUCAGCUGGCAGCCCUGGGCUAGGAGGGCCCCUGGGAAGCCUCCUGGACAGACUAAAGCCACCCCUUGCAGAUGGGGAGGACUGGGCUGGGGGACUGUCCUGGGGUGGCCGGUCGCCCGGAGGGGUCUCAGAGAGUGAGGCGGGCUCGCCCCCGGGCUGGCCUGGAUAUGGACACGUUUGACAAUGGCUUUGUGGGCUCUGACUGCAGCAGCCCUGUGGAGUGUGACUUCACCAGCCCCGGGGACGAAGGGCCUCCCCGGAGCUACCUCCGCCAGUGGGUGGUCAUUCCCCCACCACUUUCGAGCCCUGGACCCCAGGCCAGCUAGUGAGGCUGACCGGCUGUCCAGAGCUGGCCAGGCCACUGGGCCCUGAGCCAGAGACAAGGCCACUUGAGUUAUGAUGUGAAGACACCUGCAGCCUUUGGUCUCCUGGAUGGGCCUUUGAGCCUGAUGUUUACAGUGUGUGUGUGUGCGUGUGCGUGCACGUGCAUAUGCAUGUGUGUGUGUGCAUAUGCGUGUGUGUGUGCAUAUGCGUGCAUGAGUGUGUGUGUGUGUCUUAGGUGCGCAGUGGCAUGUCCACCUGUGUGUGUGAUUGCAUGUGCCUGUGGGCCUGGAAUAAUGCCCAUGGUACUCCAUACAUUCACCUGCCCUGUACAUGUCUGGGCCCACGGAGCUCACCCAUGUGCACGAGUGUGCACAGCAAACAUGUCUGUGGUCAACAGAUGACAACAGCCAUCUUCCCUUCUGGGGUCUUGUGUUGCAAGCUGGUCCACAGCACCUCCGGGGCUUUGUGGGAUCAGGGCAUAGUGUGAAAGAUGCUGAGUCCAGGCCUCCAGCUUCUGCCUCCAGGAGCUGCAAGAAGUCCAUGUUGUUCCUUAUCACCUGCCAGCAGGAAGGGAAAGGGGAUGGAGUGAGCCCACAUUGACCCCGGGAAUGGGAAGAUUUUGGGUGGCCCAUGGAUGAAGGUCUGAAUCCCGACUCUGAUACCUUCUGGCUGUGCUACCUGAGCCAAGUCGCCACCCCUCUCUGGUCUAGAGUUUCCUUGUCCGGACAAUGGGGAAAGCAUGACCCACCUGGGGGAAAUUGGCGAUGUCACCCGUGUACAGUACACAGCCCAGAGCAGACUCUCAGUAAACGUCAGCUUCCUUC
Molecule: RNA transcript, 1822 nt
Organism: Rhinopithecus roxellana (golden snub-nosed monkey)
Lineage: Eukaryota; Metazoa; Chordata; Mammalia; Primates; Cercopithecidae
Gene name: interleukin-21 receptor-like
Exons: 5
Source: RefSeq, a predicted model, not a curated record